GACGAACGCUGGCGGCGUGCCUAAUACAUGCAAGUAGAACGCUGAAGCUUGGUGCUUGCACCGAGCGGAUGAGUUGCGAACGGGUGAGUAACGCGUAGGUAACCUGCCUGGUAGCGGGGGAUAACUUUUGGAAACGAUAGCUAAUACCGCAUGAUAUUGAUUAUUGCAUGAUAGUCAAUUAAAAGGUGCAAUUGCAUCACUACCAGAUGGACCUGCGUUGUAUUAGCUAGUUGGUGAGGUAACGGCUCACCAAGGCAACGAUACAUAGCCGACCUGAGAGGGUGAUCGGCCACACUGGGACUGAGACACGGCCCAGACUCCUACGGGAGGCAGCAGUAGGGAAUCUUCGGCAAUGGACGGAAGUCUGACCGAGCAACGCCGCGUGAGUGAAGAAGGUUUUCGGAUCGUAAAGCUCUGUUGUAAGAGAAGAACGAGUGUGAGAGUGGAAAGUUCACACUGUGACG
This 464-nucleotide ribosomal RNA is filed under the name Streptococcus sp. oral taxon 070. Its description in RNAcentral is "bacterial SSU rRNA". It matches the Rfam family "Bacterial small subunit ribosomal RNA", at positions 28 to 474 of the family's 1533-position model. Lineage: Bacteria; Bacillati; Bacillota; Bacilli; Lactobacillales; Streptococcaceae. The record is from RNAcentral.